UCUAUUUGAAAUAUUGGUGGUCAGGAAUGGCAACUCUCUUGAAUGGCAUGAAAUUUUCAGGAAUUGAUCUUCAGGGUAAAACAAUGAGCAAACCUGUAGCUGCUUUAAUUUAUUUACUCACUUUCAUUGUUUAUGUCUGGAUGAAAACGUUAAUGGAGCAGAAUCAGAAAUACAGAACUAUUAAGAAUGAAUCAAGGGAACAGCAAAGGUUCUUGCGCAGAAUUGUCUAAAUGCAAUGGUCAGUUGUGGUCAAAUUGAUGCCUGCGUACAACACUCCCAUGGUCAAUGUCUUCUUAAUAGAUCACAAAGCUAUUCAUUUCAAUCCUUUUGUGUCUUUUACAUCUGUUUUUCAUCUUGAAUGUGUUUCUGGAACUGCUGAAGUCUGUGAUUUGCAGUUUGGAGAUUGUUUGGGUGGUCCAGUGCUUUGCCAUCUCAGAGAGGAUUCCGGAAGGCAGCAAGUGCAAGCCUUGAGGUGAGAAGGCUACAGGACAGGGCGUGAGCCGACGUUUGACUCCAUUCCACCAAAGCGAUGAGGGAGGUUGAAACAUCAAGGCGAGUGUGGAAGGUGAGCACUGGCUGCCUGCCUUGGGAUCACUGGUGGGAUCGUUCUAUUGCUGGAGAGAGGAGCCUCUGUGCCUGGAGGAUGUUACUGAGGUUUUCUGUGUGGUGGAUAUGAAUAUGGUUUUGAACAAUGGACAAUGGACUUUUUUUCAGUCUUAUAGAUAUAUUCUGUAUUUUUUUAGCCAUUUAUUCUUGUUUUUGUUUGUGUGGGGACAGGGAUUUGGAGGUUGAUAAUUGUGUUGCUGUUCUCUUAUGGUUUUGUGACUACAUGGAGAAGCAGAAUCUCAGAGUUGUACACUUAGAAAAUAAAUUAACCUUUGAACCCUUGAAUCUUUGAUCCUAUAAAUCUAAAAAGUUAGAGCAAUGAUAGGCCCAGUGACUGGAUAAGGAAGAAUGUAUUCGGUUUCUGAAGGAAGGCCACGUAUCUUGAGGAGGAAUACAUUGACAGAUUGAUUUUGGGGCUGUAGUUGCAGGUGGACCAUGAAGAAAUCUCCAGGAUUGCAUUCUACCACAACUGACAAUCAACUGGAAAUUAUUACAGUGGUAUUUCCAACAGACCGCCUGAUGUCGUGCUCUUGAAUUUUCUUUAAAAUGUUGAUUAAACAAAAUGAGGAUUACACAUAUAUUCUUUUAGCAACGAAAACAAUAAUUGAACCCCGACAGUUCUGUGGUGAAGGCCUUCCUGUAUUGAUAACAACAAGCAAUUGCUAAUGACAAUUACAUGAAGAGGAUUGGAAGUGUGGCUCAAGUGCAGUCCUAGUUGUCAGCUCCAAUUCUCCGAUACGAUUCCAAUUGCUUUUUUGGUGGACUCCUUGAAAGUCUCUGGCUCAAAAGUGACCUUCAGCUUCCUCUUUGAGUCUUCAUCCUCUGUUAUAACCGCCAUGUGCUCCACCCAGUUGAGUUUUGAGAUUGCAAGAUAAUUCUACAAGCAAUAUGAUCCUCAUAAAGUAAUUGCUCUCUUUCUGUUGGCCACCUGCUGCACACAUUGACAGGGCCUUGUGUGAACACGGCACUGUAGCAGCACACCUGGACUGCCCUGUGGGUUCUUUGCAUCUGGCUCCUACUGACAAGGAGAAACCCUCAUUCACAUUUCAUAAUUUACAGUCUUUACUGUGAUAAAGAAGCAAGUGAGAUUUGCAAGAGGGCAUGUCCUGGGUGGUGAGGAUCCUUAAUGAUGGACGCCGUCUUCCUAAGGCACCGCUCAUGAAGAUUUCUUGGAUACUACGGAGGCUGAUACCCAUGAUGGAGCUGAACAUAUUUUAAAGGUCCUUCUCUGUGGUGAGAAGAAACUUCUGAAACAAAGGACUUUACUGGCCUUAAACCUGCUUAUGGCUCUAACUGCUAAUCGGGAGCUGUUCAGAACAAUGAAGAGGGUGCCCCCUUAUAUUUUCAGUGAUUUACAGGAGUGUAAGGAGCAUCCAGAUAAAACACAAGGCUUCAUCAAUUUUGUUUCAAGUUUUCUUUCUCCAAACCUCAGAAGGAUGGCUCUGUACCAUAGAGGAAUGACAUCUUGCAAUUUGCACACAUACCUCAGCUGUUAGAGAAUUUUCACUUCACUACGAUUCUUGCUUUCUUCCAAGUGAGUCCGCACUGUGGACUUUUCAUCUCAUCAACAUGAUUGAUCCGAAUUUAAGCCCUGGAGGAUUCAAGAACUUUUUUUCUAAGUUUCUUUCUACUCAUGAUUUACAAAGAGUUUUAUCACAUUAUCCUUUUUUUGCUUCCCCCUCUGGAAUCAUUUCUACAUCUGUGCAAGUAGUAAUCGGUCUAAUUCACAGAGUGUAUCCGGAUAAGGUCAGCAGACUUUUUCCUGAGUGAAUCCUUGCACAAUGAGCCUCAAAGAAGAUACUGGAAUUACAUCAAACUUUGAAUCUGUUUUAAUUGAGAGAUUCAGUGGUUCGUAAUGAAAGCAGAAAGUGCUGGAAAUGCUCACCAGGCCAGGCAGCAGUGGUUGAAACAGAAGCAGAGUUAAACACACUGGCAUUCCUCUGAUCUUCUCCCAGACUCACCGUGGCGGCACAUCCUCCAGCGGCGUAACAGUGCAAGCUGUGGCGGCUUGGGAGCGUGGGGGAUAGCACAAAGGUCACCAGCAAGGAGCCAACACACACUUGGACACAGAUACCACACAGCAUGCAGCUCGCCCAACAUGAAAACAGCAGCGCUGCCAGAUCGUCGUGAGAAUACGGUGAGAGAUACCGACUUCACCGGACUGCAGCUUGCAAGCAUUUAGUGUGGGGCCCUUGAAAAUGUGGGGCCUGCAGCAUAUUAUACUUUUGCUACUAGGUUAAUCCUGCCCUGGGCAUGAGUUUAGGGUGAGAAGGGAAAGAUUUAAAAGAGACCUGAGAGACAGCGUUUCCAUGCUGAGGGUGCCGAGUAUAUGGAAUGAACUACCAGAGUAAGUGGAUUGAGGCAUUUGAAUAGGUCAGUGGAGGGGUGGGGCUGAGCACAGGAAAAUGGGACUUGAUUGGGUGCAACCUGGUUGCAUGGACUUGUUGGGCCAAGGAGCCUGUAUCUGUGCUCAGAUCCCAAAACUCGCUCCAGGUCUACCCAAACCAGAAGCCUUUGAUAAAUAAUUCAGUGUAUGUUGCUCUCAGCACAAGGGAUAAAGGCAAUGGGAGAUCAAAAGAUGCUACUAUGAUUUUCAUAGAGCCAUCAAGGUGGCAAAAUGGCAACACGGGGAUGAAAUCCAGUCACAGCCCUCAACAAUGACACACACACAAAGUAUGGCAAGGGCUACACCCCACUGCAGACUUCAAGAGGAAGUGCAACAGUACAGCCAACAUUGCUGCCUCGCUCCCGGAUGAGCUAACUUUUUUUUACGCUCGAUCUGAGGAUGAUAGGACUGAACGCUCAAGGGGAGCUGCCGGCGAGACCCGCGCCUUGGUCAUCUCCGAGGCUGAGGUACGUAGAACAUUCCAAAGUAUCAACAGCCGCAAGGCAGCAGGGCCAAACGGCAACCCAGGGUGGGCCAGCAAAGUGUGUGCGGAAUAGCUGGCUAGUGUGUUUACCCUUUUAAAAAUUUUCCCUCUCCCAGUGGGUAGGGCCCUCCUGUCUCAAAUCGUCCAUUAAUGUCCCUGUACCUAAGGGUAGCACGCCUGAACAAUAGGUGCCCUGUCACACUCACCACAAUUAUAAGCAAGUGCUGUGAGAGACUGGUUAAAGAUUACAUCUGCAGCAUGCUACCACCCACACUGGACCUCCUACAAUUCGCCUACUGAUGGAACCAGCCUAUCAAUGAUGCCAUAGCCACAGGGCUACUCACUGUCCUCACUCCCCUGGAGAAGAGGGAUGCAUAUGUGAGAAUGCUGUUCCUGGACCACAGUUCAGCAUUCAACACUGGAAUUCCCUCCAGACUUGACAGGAAGCUCAGAGAUCUUGGCCUGCUCCCCACCUUGUGUAGCUGGAUCCCAAACUUGCUAUCGGAUUGCUGACAGAUGGUAGGGCUGGGUUCCAUCACCUCUGUCCAUCUGACCCUGCACACAGAUGCCCCCCAUGGCUGUGUCCCGAGUCCCCUCCUCUAUUCCCUUUACACCCACAACUGUGCGGACACACACAGCUCCAAUCAGCUUGGCCUUAUUUCUAGCAGUGAUGAUACAACCUACGGAGGAGAGGAUGACACUCUGACGCAGUGGUGCCAAGAUAACAACUCCUCCCUCAAUCUCCAAACAGCAACAGAACUGAUUGUGGAUUACAGGAGGAACGAAGACAGGCUCUCCCAAUGGACCCGCAGUUGAGAGGGUGAGUCAUUUCCAGUUCCUCUGUAUACACAUCACUGAGGAUCUUACCUGGACUGUACACAGCGGCUUUGCGGCAAAAAAAGCACAACAGUGUCUCUUACACCUCAGCCAACUGAAGAAGUUCGGCAUGAACCCCAAAUCCUCAGGACCUUCUACAGGGGCAUCAUUGAGAGCAUCCUGUGAUAUGGUCCGGUCUGGAGCUGCUGCUCCUCCUCCUCCUCCUCCCUGUCCCGACCUGUGUAUCAUAUUUGUCCUGCUUGUGCUGUUCGCCUGGUUUUGUUCUGUUUGUCCCGGCUUGGAGUACCCACCGUUAAUCAACUAUAAGUCUGUUCUCAUAGUCACCCUGGACUGAGCUCCCUUCUGAUCCCUUGCCUGUGUCGGGUAAGCAGGCUGGACUGCUGUUGUGCAGUGGGGGACUCUGCCCCUUCCUAUUCCUUGCCUCUGUUGGGUAAGCCAGGCCAGACUGUUGUUGCCCGGCAGGGGACUCCGACCCCUUCCUACUCCUCUCUUACGGCGGGUUGUGCCCUGCACCUCCCCAGGCCCCUGUGUUUCUGCCUGGGAGGCCGGGCCCUCCCCUGGAAUUAUGCGACCCACCCAGAGGGCUAUCCUCCCAGCAUUCCUUGUCCCAUAGACCCAUCCUCUAGCCUAGCCAGGAUCCUGCCUUGCCCAAACUAUCUCUGAACCCCAGGAUCACCUUUGAAUGCCACAUCCCUCACACAUGCCACGUCCCAUCUUGUUCUAUCCUUUAGUUGUUCCUGUCCUGCCCCUAGUACUUCGGUGCCUGUGUCCUGCAUUUGGGUCCAGUCUCCAUGUCCCUUUGUGAUAUCCUGACUGGCUCUAUCACCGCCUGGUACGGGAACUGCACCAACCUUGAUCGCUGGGCACCACAGAGAGUGGUACAGACAGCCCAGCACAAUUGUGGAUAUGAGCUUCCCUCCACUGAGGACAUUUAUAGCAGCAGGUGCGGAAAGAAGGCCUGGAAGAUCAUCAGGGACAUCAGUCACCCCAACCAUAAACUGUUUCAGCUGUUUCCGUCUGGCAAACGGUACGACAGUAUUAAAACCAGGGCAAACAGGCUGGAGGACGGCUUCUUUCUUCAAGCCAUUAGACUUUUAAAUUCACAUGUCUGUACAUUGCAAUGGAGUCAUAACACAAAGAUUUUUACUCCCUCACAUUGUGAGAUGGGUGGGGAAUUUAAAUAAAUUCAAAUUAAAUUCAGACUGAAAUUCAAAUUGCUCUAUGAUUUCAAUUAGGUAGGAAUUAUAAUAUUAUAAACAAAUUUCCUUAAAAAAGCAUCUCAUAUCUGUUAACACAAGGAAAUCUGCAGAAGCUGGAAAUUCAAACAACAACAACACACAAAAUGCUGGUGGAACACAGCAGGCCAGGCAGCAUCUAUAGGGAGAAGCGCUGUCGACAUUUCGGGCCGAGACCCUUCAUCAGGACUAACCACUAACAUAUCUGUUAACUUUGAAAUACUUAUCCAAGGGAUUGAAGUGAAAAGCAAACAGCUGAAGGAGCUCGGCAGAUAAAUGGAGGGAAGUGGACCAUCAAAGUUUCAGGCUGACACCCUCAACUUGGACUGAAGGACAGAGAGGAGAUGAGAUGAGGGGAUGGGUGCAGAAAGAGCUGGCUGGUGGUAGUCGAUCCAGAUGGUGGGGAAGAGGGUGGUGGUAGUUGACAGGCAAUUGAGGGAAGAGUGAAAAUAUUGACAAAGACAUCCCCCGGGAUUGCCUGCAAACGUGCCUGUGGAAGAAUGAAUAACAUGGAGAGAGUGAUCCCAGCAGAAAGGAGUUGGGAGGGAAGAUAUGGCUGGUGGUGAAAUCAUAGUGUAGCUGGUAAAUUAUGUCUAGGAUUCCUUUAAAAUGUAUUCAUUGUGCAAAAAGCAACAUCUACCAGGAAUAUUAGAGUUAAAAUUGUUUACGAAGAGCAUAUAUUUAAAUUUAUCACUUGGUUCUAAAACUUGCACUGGAGGAGGUGUGAAUGAGUCUACAUUAUGGUGGCAAAAGAAAACUUUGAAAAGAACUUGGCCGUGGCUCCACCUACAACUCUCAAAUUAUAUUGAAAGUUCACUUAUACGUUCCUUCACAUUUUAAACAGAACCUACCUAAUUUGAAUAUGGUAUAUGGUACUGGAAUAAUUUACCAAGAUCUAAACUAUUGAUUGGAGAUGUUAAUUCAAAGCAUACAGUAGCAAUUUAAAAAAAUUAAUUCUAGUAAUUAAAUAUAUAUGAAAUUACUGCAAGCUGUUAUCAUAAAUAAGAAUUAGUAAACAAUUGGAUUGCCAUCUGAGUCACUCAUUUUCUGCAGGGUUGGAUGUAUGCUGUCCCAUCUGGGCUGGCUUAUAAUUGAUCCUAGACACACAUGAGUGAUCUGAAACAAUUAAUUUAAAAGAUAAUUAAGGAUGGGCAGUGAUACCCAUAUUGUUCCUCCAAUUAACAUAGAUUCUGUCCCUGAUCACAGAUGCAUACAGCAGGCUGUCUGAAGUGGCAAUUUUUUCUAUAGGUGAUUCUGAGCAAUCAGGGCUUCAGAUUUGAGCUCUGCCAACUAUUUUUGUUUGCAGAGGCAAUUGAGAUAUUGGCCAGGCCCAGAUAGUUAAGUAACAACUGAUGUAAGCAGUUUUCCUUCAGGAAAGAGGCUUCUCCUAGACAAGAGGUACAAGUUCAUGUUGGAUCACACAAGUGCCAUUGUCAUGUAAUGCACCAUCAAUAACUCUGAGACGUGGGUUAAGGUAGGCUUUUAUCGGCUGGAAGAAAGCACUGUCAGCAGCAAGUGACCAUCACACAACAUCCUGGAGACUGAGGAAGGGUCUGUGGCUCCAAUCGCCUUUAUACCGGGGUCCGUGGGAGGAGCCACAGGAGCAGUUAGUGGGGGGUGUGUCCAGACAGGUAUAUGUAGUUCACCAUAUUUACCUUAACCCACAUCUCAGAGUUAUGAUGGUGCAUCAAUUUUAUUGGCUGGAAGAAAACACAAGCAGCAAGUGACCAUCAUACAACAUCAUGUAAGCUGUCUGAGUGGUCAUUUAAGGAUUCCUUACCCCAAUUUUUCAGACUAUUUGGAAGGGAUAAAAUAAUACCCAUACUUAUUUCUUUUUGACUGACUGUAUAUUAUGUGUGCUUGAAGGUUAUUGCAGGAUAUACAAACUAAUAUGAGAUAAAGGAGGUCAACAAAGUAUGUGGAAUUCUCUGUGAUCAACCAAAUGCAAGUGUGCAUUUAACACCUUAUAAUCCAACACUGACUGCAAAUUGACCAAAGUUUCUAUCUCGGCAUGCUGAGAGGAACCAAAAGGUUUUUAAUGAACUUUUUAAAUAAGCUGCAAGCUGAAGAAGUGCUCGAAAGCUACUAAUACAAAGAUAAACAGGAUGUUGCAUGAACUUAACUAUGUUUCUUUCUCCAAAUAUAAUUAUAAUUUUAAAAGUUAGGAUACAAUUUUCAGUAGAGUUACAAGUGAACACAUACAUAAGUAACACCCAUAGUUUAAUAAGCCUGGAUUUGUAUUCAAUGGUAUUUUGAAAUUGGUAAACAUCAGAACUGGCAAGGCCACAUUGAAAUGUAGGUUAUAACAGGAUGAUAGCUGAAAAUGAUCUGAACUCAGUAAAUUAGUUUCUUCUUCAUAGAAGUGCAUUUGUUUUUUUAUUAACUGCACAUUAUGUUAAUCCCGCCUUUCAAAAACAGUUUCAAGCAAGUGAAGGUUUUCUUUCUCUGUGUUUGUUGCAAUUGGAAUGGUUUUCCUCAUGCACAAGUAAUACUGGAUUCCUGACAACGUCUUUAUCUGCAAUGCUUUGGAGUCAUUUAGGUGUUGAUUUAACCUCAUAUGAUAUUUUGUUACAGAGGUAUAGACCCUUGUUGGUGUUAAUUGUCAAGCAGUAUCACAUUUCUUUCUUGAUAUUAAGAUAGCUUUAACUUCGGCCCAGAACCAAUGAAGUAAUUAGACUUUCUCCUGACGACUCAAGAUAUAAAUCUUGAGAUCAGGGAAGCAGGUAUUGCUCACAAUCUGCUCUUUAGUUCAGGGCACUUUAUGACUGCCGCAUGAGCUGUGCCCAUAAUAUUGGACAAUAUUGUAAAUGUCAUCUGAUAACUUGGUGCCACAUCAUUAGUCAAGUUAGUUUUUCUAUUCUUCUAACUUUAACCCUCCUGCCUAAAUCCUUCAAUACUUCAUUAUGCUUUUAGAAAAUUGCUUAAAUGCAACAAUGACACAUUCAUGUCAAAUAUAUUUUUCCAGCCCAUUCUCAAUCUCAAUGCAAUUUGCUAUGUAAAUCGGACAUGUUGCAAGUUCAUUCACUUUAAUGUUGUGUAAACUCCCUUUAAUAACUUCUUCCUGUAGUUGCCAUCCUUGCAUUAGGGAACUACUUGGGUGCCACUGUUGAGUUGUACUAUAUAAUGUUUAGUUUUGCAUACAGAGGCUCUAUGGCCUUGUUACUACAAAUAAAUCUCAGCAUCACAUGUUUGUACCGACAAAUUCCUGCUGUGAAACAGCAAAGUCUGUUGCCAGAUCUGCUCUUUGCACCACUCCUUUUCUACCAGUCCUCAAAGCUGGAUUUCCAGCCAUAGUUCCUGCUUUUUUGUCCGUGUACCACAUUUACACUAAUGUCCUUGCUGAUUGAAUCUUUCGAGGCUACUUCACUGAUCCAGUUGUCAUGCAUGUUUGAUUUAGCAUUAACUCUUUAAUAUUGGAUACCAUUUGCUGGAUAUAACGAUCCCUUAGUUCACACGCAAAAUUAUCUCUGAGCAUUCAGAUCAGAAAGUCAUCAAAGUUGAGGUGCCAUGACUAAUCUUUCUAUGUCAUCGCUAAUUGUUCUUCCGAUGAGUCCCAUGAUACAGUACAACUGAUCACAUGAUGCUAUGUGCACGUGGUUUUUCAUUGCGCCUGCUUGUACUUGUGCCAAUAAACUUGACUUUAGACUUCUUCACAAUUUCUUGAGAUGUUGCACUGUACCUUUUUAGACCAUAAGACAUAGGAGCAGAAUUAAGCCAUCUGGCCCAUCGAGUCUGCUCCACCAUUCAAUCAUGGCUGAUCCUUUUUUUGUUAUCUCCUCCUCAACCCCAGUUCCCAGCCUCCUCCCCGUAACCUUUGAUGCUAUGUCCAAUCAAGGACCUAUCAAACUCUGCCUUAAAUACACCCAAUGAGCUGGCUUCCACAAUUGCAUGUGGCAACAGAUUCCACAAAUUCACCACCCUUUGUCUAAAGAAAUUUCUCUGCAUCUCUGUUUUGAAAGGGCACCCCUCUAUCCUGAGGCUGUGACGUCUUGUCCUAGACUCUCAGACCAUGGGAAAUAUCCUUUCCACAUCUACUGUGUCUAGGCCUUUCAACAUUUGAAAGGUUUUGAUGAGAUCCCCCCUCAUUCUUCUGAAUUGCAGUCAGUACAGACCCAGAGCAAUCAAAUGUUCCUCGUAUGAUUCCUGGGAUCAUCCUUGUGAACCUCGUCUGGACCCUCUCCAAUGCCAGCACAUCUUUUCUAAGAUGAGGGGCCCAACAUUGUUCACAAUACUCAAGGUGAGGCCUCACUAGUGCCUUAUAAAGCCUCAGCAUCACAUCCUUGCUCUUGUGUUCUAAACCUCUUGAAAUGAAAACUAACAUGGCGUUUGCGUUCCUCACCACCAGCUCAACCUGCAAGUUAACCUUCAGCGGGUCUAAGUCCCUCUGCAUCUCAGAUUCCUGGAGUUACUCCCUGUUUAGAAAAUCAUCCACACAUUUAUUUCUACUACCAAAAUGCAUGACCAUAUAUUUUCCAACAUUGUAUUUCAUUUGCCACUUUUCUUUAUUAAUAUGUCAAAUGGGAUUAGCUAUAGUCUUGCUAAUGAUAGAACUAAGGUCAAAUUGCAUACUUUUCCUAUAUCUUGUGUUAGUGUGACAUUGAUUAGGAAUAAGAAUGGUGUGUUUACUAAUGCCACUGAAUUACCUGUGCCUAUUUUGACUAACAAGAUCACUUCCUUGUACUUGUAUAUGUCCUUAUAUAGUUAUUUGCUAAUUUAAUUCCUUAUUGUACAUAAUGAUAU
Molecule: long non-coding RNA, 10288 nt
Organism: Hypanus sabinus (Atlantic stingray)
Lineage: Eukaryota; Metazoa; Chordata; Chondrichthyes; Myliobatiformes; Dasyatidae
Exons: 8
Source: RefSeq, a predicted model, not a curated record